RNAcentral lists this ribosomal RNA (253 nucleotides) under uncultured bacterium. RNAcentral describes it as "partial 16S ribosomal RNA". It matches the Rfam family "Bacterial small subunit ribosomal RNA", at positions 524 to 776 of the family's 1533-position model. The record is from RNAcentral.
UACGUAGGGUGCAAGCAUUAAUCGGAUUUAUUGGGCGUAAAGGGCGCGUAGGCGGGGAUGUAAGUCAAAUGUGAAAUCCCGGGGCUCAACCCCGGAACAGCAUCUGAAACUGCAUUUCUAGAGGGUAGGCGGAGAAAACGGAAUUCCACAAGUAGCGGUGAAAUGCGUAGAUAUGUGGAAGAACAUCAGUGGCGAAGGCGGUUUUCUAGCUUAUACCUGACGCUGAUGCGCGAAAGCAAGGGGAGCAAACAGG